This 1019-nucleotide unclassified non-coding RNA is filed under the name Hevea brasiliensis (rubber tree). The record is from RNAcentral. Lineage: Eukaryota; Viridiplantae; Streptophyta; Magnoliopsida; Malpighiales; Euphorbiaceae.
AGAGAGAGAGAGAGAGAGAAUUUAACUUGUUCUGGUUACAAGAACUCCUAAGCAACUAGGUUUCUCUGUAAAAGCAUUGCAAAAACACCUGAAAAGGUACUUUCUUGGACAAAUUUUCAACCUCAGUGCUAAAUAUACACUCAAAACUUUUUAAUAUUCAGAGGCAUGAGCAUAAAAAAUCACUUUGAGCAAGAUAAGAGUCCACCAAGAUAUCUAAAAUGCAAAGAGAACUACAUAACAAAAAAAGAAAAAAAAAAUCAUAGUGAACACUAAAAGAAAUAUAAGAAACUCUGACCUGAUCCACUCAAUCUCAAUAUGCAUUGUAGAAUCAAAUCAAUUUCUACUUCAACCCGAAAAUGGUAUAAAAUAAACACUUCGAAUGGAUAUGGGUUAACAUAGACAGUGUUGAUAAUCAAUUCACUAAAAUAUAGAAGAACACAAACUUCUUGCAAAUCAAAGUCAAGUAAAUUGCAGAUACACGAAAUUCUCAAGAAGCAACAGAGGAAUUAGACAGCCUAAGGCACUCAUUUUGGCACCUCUUUAAACAGACAUCAUUCCAAUUGGGUACUUGAUGUUGAUUAACACAAACAGUUCUUGCACAAGCAUCAGCACAAGCAUCAAGUUCAGAAACACCACAAACAGUGACACAAGAAUCAACAGUUGGGUCUUUAGAAAAAGCACCAACCUUUUUUAACAUCCUUUUCGAAGUGCAUACCCUUUCACAAACAAAAAUUUCAUCAGAGCUUUUUUCACGUCCUCUAGCACUCUUUAACCUUUGCUCUUCAACACUCUUCUUCUUCAUUCUGAAAGCUUGACCUGCAAUUAUGGCUGGUAUGGCCGCACCUAACAGAGCCCACCAUGGAUCCACCAUUGCAAAGCAGUAGCGGCGGCAGCGGUGGCGCUGGGGGGCGAUGUAAGCGGGAAGUUGCGCUUGCGGCGGUGGGAUUAAAAGGCAAUGGAGAGAAGCGUAAACUCGUCGGUCCAAGGGGUGUUUGGUUUAAACGUGCGAUACAGGUGAU